AUUGAACGCUGGCGGCAUGCUUUACACAUGCAAGUCGAACGGUAACAGGCCGCAAGGUGCUGACGAGUGGCGAACGGGUGAGUAAUGCAUCGGAACGUGCCCAGUCGUGGGGGAUAACUACUCGAAAGAGUAGCUAAUACCGCAUACGAUCUAUGGAUGAAAGCGGGGGACCGUAAGGCCUCGCGCGAUUGGAGCGGCCGAUGUCAGAUUAGGUAGUUGGUGGGGUAAAGGCUCACCAAGCCAACGAUCUGUAGCUGGUCUGAGAGGACGACCAGCCACACUGGGACUGAGACACGGCCCAGACUCCUACGGGAGGCAGCAGUGGGGAAUUUUGGACAAUGGGCGCAAGCCUGAUCCAGCAAUGCCGCGUGCAGGAAGAAGGCCUUCGGGUUGUAAACUGCUUUUAUACGGAACGAAACGGCUCUGGUUAAUACCCGGGGCUAAUGACGGUACCGUAAGAAUAAGCACCGGCUAACUACGUG
Molecule: ribosomal RNA, 482 nt
Filed under: uncultured bacterium
Lineage: Bacteria
Description: partial 16S ribosomal RNA
Rfam family: Bacterial small subunit ribosomal RNA
Source: RNAcentral